UGUAUGUAAUUUAAAAAAAAUACCAAGCUGUGACCUUGACAACAGGAUA
RNAcentral lists this transfer RNA (49 nucleotides) under Pseudechis australis (mulga snake). RNAcentral's name for it is "partial tRNA-His". The record is from RNAcentral. Lineage: Eukaryota; Metazoa; Chordata; Lepidosauria; Squamata; Elapidae.